UACGUAGGUGGCGAGCGUUGUCCGGAUUUAUUGGGCGUAAAGGGCGCGCAGGUGGUGCGGUAAGACUGCCGUGAAAUCUCCCGGCUCAACUGGGAGGGGGCGGUGGAGACUGCCGGACUAGAGGCACUCAGAGGCCGGUGGAAUUCCCGGUGUAGUGGUGAAAUGCGUAGAGAUCGGGAGGAACACCAGUGGCGAAGGCGGCCGGCUGGGGGUGACCUGACGCUGAGGCGCGAAAGCGUGGGGAGCGAACCGGAUUAGAUACCCGGGUAGCCCACGUCGUAAACGAUGGCCACUAGCUGUGGGGGGUAUCGACCCCCUCCGUGGCGUAGCAAACGCGGUAAGUGGCCCGCCUGGGGAGUACGGCCGCAAGGCUAAA
Molecule: ribosomal RNA, 376 nt
Filed under: uncultured bacterium
Lineage: Bacteria
Description: bacterial SSU rRNA
Rfam family: Bacterial small subunit ribosomal RNA
Source: RNAcentral